This is a non-coding RNA of Phalacrocorax carbo (great cormorant), 4376 nucleotides long. The record is from RefSeq and is a predicted model, not a curated record. Lineage: Eukaryota; Metazoa; Chordata; Aves; Suliformes; Phalacrocoracidae.
AACCGAGAGGCUGGGGAGAAGGGGAGGAGUAGCAGCAGCAGCAGCAGUAGUAGUAGUCGUAGUAGUGCAGGAGGGCGGGGAGCGCAGUGUGAGCGAGUGGGUGAGUGUGUGUGUGUGUGCGAGCGACUGAGCGAACGUGUGCGCGCAGGCCGAAGGCCCCGCUCGUGUCACUGCCGUGCAACGGCGGGGCAUCCCGGGCCGCCUCUCCAGGUUCCUCCGCGCCCCUUCAGACCUACCAAGCUGGCAUGUGCUGAGGGGGGGACACGGACGGGAGCGCCCUCCCUAAGGGCGCGGCGGUGGUACUGUGGCGGGUGGUUUGGCGAGAGGGGAAGAAGGUACUGGAAUUCGGUGGUGCCGCUGCCCCAGCCUGCCGGGGCGAGCCCGCCGCCCCUGGGUGGCCGGGGAGGAGCCAGCCUGAGGGGCGCUGGGGUCAGGCCUCCGAUGGCAGACCUGGCGCCGCCGCGGGCCGGAGGAGGCUGCCGAGAACAUUCCAGUUCCCGUUCUGACAGACAGCCGUCAGUCAGUCCGCCGGCCGGGCGGGCUCCCGCGGGCGCCGGGCAGGAGCCUCCGCCGGGGCGGGGAGGCCGUUAUUCGCCACACGCCCUCUGGGAAGACCCGGCCGCUCCUUGUCGCGGGUCGGGAGGCAGCUGUUGAAGUGGUCGCCGGAUAUAAGGCUGUGUGAAGAGCGGAGGUGGACCCCUUGUUUCUUAGGGAUAGGAAGGAAGAGAAAACAAGUCUUAAAUAAUGGAGGGGAAGCUUCCCUGAAUACAGCUCAACUUCUUGUUGGACUCAGCAGUGGUCAAGCCAUUCUUUUUGGUUGAAAGCAUACAGAGAAGAAAACAGGAAAACAAAAUUAAUCUCUCAGGCAAAAGAAAAAAUGUGCACUUGAUGUUAGGAUAAAUGUGCCUAUGUUUAGUUAACAAUGACGUUUAUUUUGGGAAGGCUGCAGCAGCCAAUUGCAUUUUGGGGCAGCAAAAACUCCAGUUGAAUGGGCAUGUUGCUGAUGUCAAUCUGAAAGGCGUUUUCUUUUUGUAUUUUGAUGAAGUAUCAUUUAAUCUCAUUGUAAUGUAUAUUAAGGGGUUGGAAAAUACAUUUUUUUGUCAAGUCAGGCAUGUUCAACUUACAGGAAAAUCUUUACUGAAAUUGGUAGGAUCAAUACGGGUUCACAAUAUGAGACUUGGGGUGGCUGAAGCUUUGUGCAUAGCGAAUAUGCAAACAUGGUGAAUAAUCACAUGCUAAAGGAUAAAUUAGUUUUCCCCUGAUGGAUUUGUCUAUCUUAGGAAAAGUAGAUGAGGGCCCUUAACUGAAUUAAUGCUUUGGAUGCUGCCGACAAUGGUACAAUUGCACAUAAAAUUUUCAAAUGAGGUGAAGUACCAUGUUGAGAAGAGGUACCAUUUUGACUAGCUAGAUGUCUCCUUGUGGAACUAAAGCUUGUUUAUGUGAGGAAUGAUACCAAUAUAAUUAAAACCAUUUAGAAACUGAUAUAUCAGUGGUACAUUUGCAGGGAUGCUAACAUGAAGAGAAGGUAAUUACCAUCAAGGAGUUACAGUUGUUUACAGCAACAUCACUGUUGCCACCUCAAAACCCCUGCUGCAACAGUUUGUAGUGGUAUUUCUCUGCUACCGACUCCCUGACAGAGGUUGCAGCCACUGCAGCAGAAAUGGCAGAAAGGAGUAUUUUUUUAGUGCCUCAACCAGUUCCUAGCAAAGUCCUAGGUGGCCAGUGAAAAUGUGUUUAAGCUAGAACGUUCCAUGAAGAUGGCUUCAUGCUCAGAUGUCUAUAUAAAUAACAAAACAGAACAAAAAAAAUUUUAUGUAUCUGGGGAAGUCGUAAGUGAGCAAACUUAAGACCCACCUCACAGAAAUGUGUAACAUUUCUGCUUAUGUCUGCUGCUUUGGUAGAUAGUGUUCACCCCAAAAAGCAAAGAGAAAACGCAUAAUUGAUUGAACUUUAAUCAAAGCCUUCAAAGGUAAAAAUGGAAUGAAGGCAAGAUACUCCAACUUUACAGUGAGGUUAAUUCAUUGAGAUUGUCCUCAGAUGGGGCAAUAAGGCUGGCCUCCAUGACGUUGCUGCAGUAAAGAAGCGUCUUAUCUUUUACACCAAGAUAGUUCAUGUUUCUCAGGUAACUAACAUAACAACAAAAAAAGUGCCUACUUUUUCUAAGUAAUGAAGGCAAAUCCUGUGAUGUUGAAGUAAAUCAUUGAGAUAAGAAGCUGUGGAAAGUGUCUGUUUUGCUGGUACUCUCCGCUGAAGUCUUCUCAUGCCCUAUCCAUUGUGUAUUUGGAACAGUACUUUUCCUGAAGUAUGUGAAUCCUAGAGGGAAGGAUACUCUUCACCUACCUGUCUGUUGAUCUCCAGUAUGUGGUAUUAUGAGUGUGCCAUAUUUUGUUGAAGUGGUGCAUUUCAGCCUGAUACAUCUGGCAACAAAGUAAUUAUUAGAGCUGGUUAGUGUUUCUCCUUUUUUUAUGGAAAAUGUAAUUGUUUUCCAAUUUAAAAAUAAAAUUUCUUUUCUAAUACAGCUUUCAUGUAUGUGCUUGGUACUCAUUAACUUUUUCCUUCAGCCAUUUUUCUGGAGACUUAACCUGUUCAUCUAGCUGUCCUCACAGGUUUAAAAGAGAGAACCUCUUCCAAAGUAUCUUCAUUUGCUCUAAACUCUCAAGGUUCCUUUGUGAAGGUGAUGUUGAAAAGAUGAUAUUCAGCUGAGAUCUUCUUAAGGUUAAGUAGAUGGGAAUAAUUAUCUCUCUUGUCAAAAGUGCCUUUCUGAAUGUAUUCCAAAAUGAAGUCUGUGCAUGAGAAAGGUGUGUUGGCUUGUGGUGAUGAUGCGUUAGUGUUUCUAUUUAUUUUGUAGUCCACAAAAUUCCAGAGUGUGGUUUGAUGUCAUAUUUUAAGGGUGAGAAGCACACUGUGGUGUUGAUCUUUCUAUCCAUGUUUCUUUCAGGCUGCCAUUUUGCUUCCCAACUAGGUGGUCCCAGUUUUGUGUUUGUGUUUUUUGCAAGAGGAUCACUUUACACUUGAUAUUAUUGAAUUUUAUCUUAAUAUUUUCUAAGCCCCUCUGCAAUUUCUCAACAUUGUUUUCAGUUCUAAUCCUCUGUUGUAAGGUGCUCACCAAAUCUCACUAGCUUUGUACAGGUUGUAUAAACAAAUUAAUCACUGAAGCAAUUAAAAAUAAUAUUUAAUAGAACUAUGCCCAGAAUAGACAUCUCUGGGGCUCUGAAGUGUUUUCGGUUAUUAAGCUUUCAUUCCUGGGUGCUAACAUGUUCUGGUUCAGGCAGGCAGUUACUUUUUGUAUGGUUUUGGUAGGAUGUUUCCUAAUUUUGGCUAUUGCUGGCCUGUUGAAGUGCCUGUUGGAAGCGGUCAGACAACUUUUGCUGAGAGGGACAAACUCAGAAUUCUGAACUGGUGCUAGUAGUUCUUGAAGAGUCCCUUUUGCUCUUCUUGUGAUUAAUGGUGCUUUGACUGCAAAUGUGAAUUUAUCCAUCUUUAAACAGUCUCAAAGUUUGUGUCUGAGUUCAAGAAUCAGAAGUAAGGUCUAUGAUGAUUUGUUUAUUCUGGUCCUCCCAGUAUUAGAACUGUGCUAAUUGCCGCACAGUGGGGGAAUACAUAAGGAAAAUUACCACUGUAGGAUUUUGAUCCUGUAAGCAGCCAAUAUUGUGAAUGUACUAGACUGUGGAAAAAUAAAUCUUUGUAUGAAUAUGAAGAUUAGGGUGAUUCAAUUUAGUCAAAGUGAAAAACAAGUAUAGAGGACCAUGUUGCCGCCUUCUGAUAACGUUCAACUCAAACCAGGCUACCAUAUGUUACAGGAUCAGUUCUAGAUUGCAAUAUGAAGUUGGGUUAGAAAGGAAAUCUAGGUAGUAAAUACUGGGGCCUUUGAAAGUGAGACUUACACUUGAAUUCUGGAUAAGUCACAGUUAUGUACCAGGAAAAUGUUAUGACUGUUCGGUAUAUCAAGCAUGGCAGUCACAAAGGCAAAAACACAAAAACCUGGAUUCCCAGAUUAGUGGAAUUUGCUACAGCUUGCUCUUUUAUCCUCCAUGCACUAUUUUUUUGUCUAAACCCAAUUUUUGAGUAGCAUUCCUCUCUUUUUGCUCACAAAUAUUUAACUUCACUGCAGCUUCUUCCUUUUUAUAGUUAUCUACUUUUUUCAUUUGCAUUACACUUUCUUCCAGUAUAUUUGUUCCUUCAUCAAUGCUAUUUUAGCCAGUGUUAUGCAUAGUGACUACAAGGUGGAAUUAUAUUGCCUAAGAAAUAUUCAUUUAUCUAAGCUACUGCUUGCAUCUUAUGCACAAUUUGAGAACCAGUUAUGAGUACUGUCUCCACUUUUUGAAAUACAGACUUGGUUUUGCCGAGAUAUAAGCAUGUUUAAGACAAUGGCAUCA